RNAcentral lists this ribosomal RNA (223 nucleotides) under uncultured bacterium. Its description in RNAcentral is "partial 16S ribosomal RNA". It matches the Rfam family "Bacterial small subunit ribosomal RNA", at positions 111 to 334 of the family's 1533-position model. The record is from RNAcentral.
UAACGCGUGGGUAACCUGCCUCAUACAGGGGGAUAACAGUUAGAAAUGACUGCUAAAACCGCAUAAGCGCACAGCAUCGCAUGAUGCAGUGUGAAAAACUCCGGUGGUAUGAGAUGGACCCGCGUCUGAUUAGCUGGUUGGUGAGGUAACGGCCCACCAAGGCGACGAUCAGUAGCCGGCCUGAGAGGGUGACCGGCCACAUUGGGACUGAGACACGGCCCAA